CAUCUUCGGGGCAGGGUGAAAUUCCCGACCGGCGGUAAAGUCCGCGAGCGCUGCAGCGUUGAUUUGGUGAGAUUCCAAAACCGACAGUACAGUCUGGAUGAUAGAAGAU
This 109-nucleotide non-coding RNA is filed under the name human gut metagenome. RNAcentral describes it as "FMN riboswitch (RFN element)". It matches the Rfam family "FMN riboswitch aptamer (RFN element)". Rfam says of the family: The RFN element is a highly conserved domain that is found frequently in the 5'-untranslated regions of prokaryotic mRNAs that encode for flavin mononucleotide (FMN) biosynthesis and transport proteins. This element is a metabolite-dependent riboswitch that directly binds FMN in the absence of proteins. The record is from RNAcentral.